This 501-nucleotide ribosomal RNA is filed under the name uncultured bacterium. RNAcentral's name for it is "partial 16S ribosomal RNA". The record is from RNAcentral.
GGAGUUAGCCGGUGCUUCUUCUGUGAGUGAUGUCCUUCCUGCCGGCUAUUAACCCGCAGGCCUUCUUCCUCACUGAAAGUGCUUUACAACCCGAAGGCCUUCUUCACACACGCGGCAUGGCUGGAUCAGGGUUGCCCCCAUUGUCCAAUAUUCCCCACUGCUGCCUCCCGUAGGAGUCUGGGCCGUGUCUCAGUCCCAGUGUGGCUGAUCAUCCUCUCAGACCAGCUACGGAUCGUCGCCUUGGUGAGCCGUUACCUCACCAACCAGCUAAUCCGACAUAGGCUCAUCCGAUAGCGCGAGGCCCGAAGGUCCCCCGCUUUCCCCCGUAGGGCGUAUGCGGUAUUAGCCUGGGUUUCCCCAGGUUUAUCCCCCACUACCGGGCAGAUUCCUAUGCAUUACUCACCCGUCCGCCGCUCGCCACCAGGGAGCAAGCUCCCCGUGCUGCCGCUCGACUUGCAUGUGUAGCNGCGCNGCGUCAUCUGAGCGAGAUACAACUACUGA